RNAcentral lists this ribosomal RNA (1404 nucleotides) under uncultured bacterium. RNAcentral describes it as "bacterial SSU rRNA". It matches the Rfam family "Bacterial small subunit ribosomal RNA". The record is from RNAcentral.
UAGAGUUUGAUUAUGGCUCAAGAUGAACGCUAGCUACAGGCUUAACACAUGCAAGUUCCGGGGCAGCAUGGGGGUUGCUUGCAACCCCUGAUGGCGACCGGCGCACGGGUGAGUAACGCGUAUCCAACCUGCCCUUCACCACGGGAUAACCCGGCGAAAGUCGGACUAAUACCGUAUGUUGUCCAUUGACGGCAUCCGAUUUGGACGAAAGGCUUAGCGGUGAGGGAUGGGGAUGCGUCCGAUUAGCUUGACGGCGGGGUAACGGCCCACCGUGGCAACGAUCGGUAGGGGUUCUGAGAGGAAGGUCCCCCACACUGGAACUGAGACACGGUCCAGACUCCUACGGGAGGCAGCAGUGAGGAAUAUUGGUCAAUGGGCGGAAGCCUGAACCAGCCAAGUAGCGUGCAGGAUGACGGCCCUAUGGGUUGUAAACUGCUUUUAUGCGGGGAUAAAGGGGCCCACGUGUGGGCUUUUGCAGGUACCGCAUGAAUAAGGACCGGCUAAUUCCGUGCCAGCAGCCGCGGUAAUACGGAAGGUUCGGGCGUUAUCCGGAUUUAUUGGGUUUAAAGGGAGCGUAGGCCGCCCCUUAAGCGUGUUGUGAAAUGCGGGUGCUCAACAUCCGACUUGCAGCGCGAACUGGGGGGCUUGAGUGCGCCGAAAGUAGGCGGAAUUCGUGGUGUAGCGGUGAAAUGCUUAGAUAUCACGAAGAACUCCGAUUGCGAAGGCAGCUUACUGUAGCGCAACUGACGCUGAUGCUCGAAAGCGUGGGUAUCGAACAGGAUUAGAUACCCUGGUAGUCCACGCGGUAAACGAUGGAUGCUCGUUGUCGGCCUUUGUGGUCGGUGACCAAGCGAAAGCGUUAAGCAUCCCACCUGGGGAGUACGCCGGCAAGGUUAAAACUCAAAUGAAUUGACGGGGGCCCGCACAAGCGGUGGAGCAUGUGGUUUAAUUCGAUGCAACGCGAAGAACCUUACCUACUCUUGACAUCCAUGGAAUCUUGUAGAGAUAUGAGAGUGCCUUCGGGAACCAUGAGACAGGUGCUGCAUGGCUGUCGUCAGCUCGUGUUGUGAAAUGUUGGGUUAAGUCCCGCAACGAGCGCAACCCUUAUCCUUUGUUGCCAGCGAUUUGGUCGGGAACUCAAAGGAGACUGCCGGUGAUAAACCGGAGGAAGGUGGGGAUGACGUCAAGUCAUCAUGGCCCUUACGAGUAGGGCUACACACGUGCUACAAUGGCGUAUACAGAGGGCGACGAAAGCCGCGAGGCGGAGUGAAUCUCACAAAGUACGUCUAAGUCCGGAUUGGAGUCUGCAAACUCGACUCCAAUGAAAGUUCGGAAUCGCUAGUAAUCGCGAAAUCAGAAAUGUCGCGGUGAAUACGUUCCCGGGCCCUUGCAACACACCGCCCG